UACAGAGGUCUCAAGCGUUGUUCGGAUUCAUUGGGCGUAAAGGGUGCGUAGGCGGCGAGGUAAGUCGGAUGUGAAAUCCCGGGGCUCAACCCCGGAACUGCAUUCGAUACUGCUUUGCUAGAGUACUGGAGAGGAGACUGGAAUUUACGGUGUAGCAGUGAAAUGCGUAGAUAUCGUAAGGAAGACCAGUGGCGAAGGCGAGUCUCUGGACAGUUACUGACGCUGAGGCACGAAGGCCAGGGGAGCAAACGGG
RNAcentral lists this ribosomal RNA (253 nucleotides) under Verrucomicrobiota bacterium. RNAcentral's name for it is "partial 16S ribosomal RNA". It matches the Rfam family "Bacterial small subunit ribosomal RNA", at positions 524 to 776 of the family's 1533-position model. Lineage: Bacteria; Pseudomonadati; Verrucomicrobiota. The record is from RNAcentral. RNAcentral also lists the same sequence under 1 other name.